Molecule: long non-coding RNA, 1926 nt
Organism: Numida meleagris (helmeted guineafowl)
Lineage: Eukaryota; Metazoa; Chordata; Aves; Galliformes; Numididae
Exons: 8
Source: RefSeq, a predicted model, not a curated record
ACUGGAGAUCCCUGUGUACCUGAGGCUUUCUGAAGCCUGCACCUGUCUCUCCUUCCACAGCUGAGGACAUGCUGGAAAUCUAUUUCCCUAUAGACCUGAUCGGGUAAAAGCUUCAGGGGAAUGGAGCCUCUGUGAUAGCCACUGCAGCAUUUCCUUCGCUGAAGAGGUGAUAGUGGACCUGACCUUUCAGCUCUGAUUUUUGGCACCAUCAGGUGGUCAAAAGCUUUGACCUUUGCACUGACAGCACAGUAGACCUCAUUGCUCUCUGUAUCCUGGGAAAGGAUUCUGUGAGCUGGAGAACAAUUUCUGUCAUUUCCUGAUUUGUGUUUUGUAGAAACCAGCACAUGCCACUUAUUCACUAUUCUCAUCGCAGGUUUUGUUUGCUUUUGUGCAUUCCAAAGCAGUCCUUAGACUUCGCUGCAGUCCACCAGGAAUCACAUCAUCUCCACUGUCUUGGCCCACCUGCACCACUGCCAGCAUAAAAUGGGGUGGAAUUAACCUUCAACUCAUCCUUCUUGAGUUGAGUUGCACCACUGUUCCUGGAAGAAGUCAGCAGAAGAGAAGGUGAAUACAUGUGGGAAAGCAGGUUCAGCCUUCCUCCACUGAAAUGUCUGAAGCAUGCAAUUCAAAGGAAGAGCAGUUUACUGCCAAACAAGUACAAGGCUAUUGCAUGAACAUCAUCUUCAGCCUUUGCUCUUUUGAGAUUUAAUGUAAAAGCCACCAACAUCAGUUGAGAGCAACACUUUCAGACUUUCCAAAGCCUUUGCACCCAUCCUGUUUUAAUACCCUCUGCCAGAAGGACAAGAAGUACUACCCUACUUCAGAGAUGACAGAUAAGCAGAGUGCUUAAUGAAGCAGAACAAUAAUGUUAGUCUUCAUCAGCCAUGGAAAAUAACAAAGCUCACAAAGCUGGUCUCCAGGCGACCCAGCUCUCACAGAAGCAAUGGCUCCAUACUACCUUUGCACCAACUGGGAACAAACCUUCAGCACCAGCAGGGCUGAAGAGCACAGAUUCCAGUCGCUCAUCCAGUUGCUCUCGGACUCAUUAAUGUGAGUGGGAAACACAGUGAACUUGAUUGAAUAUAAAACCAAGAGUGAGAGCAGAAAGCAGAGGGUUGACUCAGCCAUACUAGAGUUGGAAAAGUCUGGUCUGGUUCUCUGCAUCAUGGACAUGGACAUGGAAGUGGAGUCUCUAGAGAAGUAACAUCUGCAUGGUGCUAUGUUCUACUGCUUUUCACCUUCCUAGGCUCAGCAGGUCCCUGCCUCAAGGGUCUACCCACUGCACUGCACUACAUCCUGCACGUACUGAGCCCUGCAGCCAUCCUAUCCAGCAGCAUGCAUGUAACUGGUUGAGCCUUGAAGCAGAGGAAUCUCUUUGGUAUUGGACUUCAAGGCUAUACCGCAGAGGCUGGAGUGUGCUACUCAUUGAGACUUCAAUACUACACUAUUUGGUCAAGCCAAAUUUCAAGAGCCUGAAAACCAAGAUCCUAGGCUUUCCUUGGCAAGAAAAGAAGCUAAUGCGUCCACCAUGUAUAAAAAUUGGCUGUGAAGAAUUUACCAGUGUCCUCCCACUGGGGAGAAAUUUCAAUAUUUGCAGUACAGCAGUUGAUGUCAUCACACCAUUCAGAAGGUAACUGAAACUGGUGCAGAGCUUUUCCUUAUUAAGACUGAUCUACCAUUACUAGAGCAUAAAGAUGGCUGAAACCUGUGGCCGAAGGAUUCCCACUCGUUUGCAGCCAGGGAUGUAGACCCCUUCCUGGGCACCCAGCGUGCCACAUCUCACAGGCUGCCUAUGUGUAUGCAGGCAGCAGAGCAAUCACUGGGAAAAGCUCUGUUUCCCACCUUCUCCAAGAAAUUGGUUAAACAGGGAUUUUAUCCCCAGUGCGCAAAGUACUUUGCAGAAGUCCAAUAAAGGCACCUCAUCAC